UCCGGUUUGGCACCGGCAGUCCUCCCAGAGUCCUCAGCCUUACCUGGUAGCAACUGGGAGCGGGGGUUGCGCUCGUUGCGGGACUUAACCCAACAUCUCACGACACGAGCUGACGACAGCCAUGCAGCACCUGUGCGAGCGCCCCGAAGGGGGGCCGUGGUUUCUCACGGCUUUCGCUCGCAUGUCAAGCCCGGGUAAGGUUCUGCGCGUUGCGUCGAAUUAAACCACAUGCUCCACCGCUUGUGCGGGCCCCCGUCAAUUCCUUUGAGUUUCAGCCUUGCGGCCGUACUCCCCAGGCGGGGCACUUAAUGCGUUAGCGCCGGCACCCGAGGGGUCGCUCCCCCGAGCACCUAGUGCCCAUCGUUUACGGCGUGGACUAC
RNAcentral lists this unclassified non-coding RNA (380 nucleotides) under uncultured Gemmatimonadaceae bacterium. RNAcentral's name for it is "contains 16S-23S intergenic spacer region". The record is from RNAcentral. Lineage: Bacteria; Pseudomonadati; Gemmatimonadota; Gemmatimonadia; Gemmatimonadales; Gemmatimonadaceae.